AGCAGCCGCGGUAAUUCCAGCUCCAAUAGCGUAUAUUAAAGUUGUUGCAGUUAAAAAGCUCGUAGUUGAAUUUCGGGGUUAGUAGGUUGGUCAUGCCACUGGUACGUACUGGUCUCACUGAUUCCUCCUUCCUGAUGAACUGUAAUGCCAUUAAUUUGGUGUUGCAGGGAAACUGGACUGUUACUUUGAAAAAAUUUAGAGUGUUUAAAGCAAGCUAACGCUUGAAUACAUUAGCAUGGAAUAAUGAAAUAGGACGUUCGAUCCUAUUUUGUUGGUUUCUAGGAUUGACGUAAUGAUUAAUAGGGAUAGUUGGGGGCAUUAGUAUUCAAUUGUCAGAGGUGAAAUUCUUGGAUUAUUGAAGACUAACUACUGCGAAAGCAUUUGCCAAGGAUGUUUUCAUUAAUCAAGAACGAAAGUUAGGGGAUCGAAGACGAUCAGAUACCGUCGUAGUCUUAACCAUAAACUAUGCCGACUAGGGAUCGGAUGAUGUUAAUUUUUUAAUGACUCAUUCGGCGCCUUA
Molecule: ribosomal RNA, 520 nt
Filed under: uncultured Glomus
Lineage: Eukaryota; Fungi; Glomeromycota; Glomeromycetes; Glomerales; Glomeraceae
Description: SSU rRNA
Rfam family: Eukaryotic small subunit ribosomal RNA
Source: RNAcentral